Molecule: ribosomal RNA, 985 nt
Filed under: Beauveria asiatica
Lineage: Eukaryota; Fungi; Ascomycota; Sordariomycetes; Hypocreales; Cordycipitaceae
Description: SSU rRNA
Rfam family: Eukaryotic small subunit ribosomal RNA
Source: RNAcentral
UAAGCCAUGCAUGUCUAAGUAUAAGCAAUUAUACAGCGAAACUGCGAAUGGCUCAUUAUAUAAGUUAUCGUUUAUUUGAUAGUACCUUACUACUUGGAUAACCGUGGUAAUUCUAGAGCUAAUACAUGCUGAAAAUCCUGACUUCGGAAGGGAUGUAUUUAUUAGAUUAAAAACCAAUGCCCUCUGGGCUCCUUGGUGAUUCAUAAUAACUUUUCGAAUCGCACGGCCUUGCGCCGGCGAUGGUUCAUUCAAAUUUCUUCCCUAUCAACUUUCGAUGUUUGGGUAUUGGCCAAACAUGGUCGCAACGGGUAACGGAGGGUUAGGGCUCGACCCCGGAGAAGGAGCCUGAGAAACGGCUACUACAUCCAAGGAAGGCAGCAGGCGCGCAAAUUACCCAAUCCCGAUUCGGGGAGGUAGUGACAAUAAAUACUGAUACAGGGCUCUUUUGGGUCUUGUAAUUGGAAUGAGUACAAUUUAAAUCUCUUAACGAGGAACAAUUGGAGGGCAAGUCUGGUGCCAGCAGCCGCGGUAAUUCCAGCUCCAAUAGCGUAUAUUAAAGUUGUUGUGGUUAAAAAGCUCGUAGUUGAACCUUGGGCCUGGCUGGCCGGUCCGCCUCACCGCGUGUACUGGUCCGGCCGGGCCUUUCCCUCUGUGGAACCUCAUGCCCUUCACUGGGUGUGGCGGGGAAACAGGACUUUUACUUUGAAAAAAUUAGAGUGCUCCAGGCAGGCCUAUGCUCGAAUACAUUAGCAUGGAAUAAUAAAAUAGGACGUGUGGUUCUAUUUUGUUGGUUUCUAGGACCGCCGUAAUGAUUAAUAGGGACAGUCGGGGGCAUCAGUAUUCAAUUGUCAGAGGUGAAAUUCUUAGAUUUAUUGAAGACUAACUACUGCGAAAGCAUUUGCCAAGGAUGUUUUCAUUAAUCAGGAACGAAAGUUAGGGGAUCGAAGACGAUCAGAUACCGUCGUAGUCUUAACCAUAAACUAUG